GACGAACGCUGGCGGCGUGCUUAACACAUGCAAGUCGAACGGAAAGGCCCUGCUUUUGUGGGGUGCUCGAGUGGCGAACGGGUGAGUAACACGUGAGUAACCUGCCCUUGACUUUGGGAUAACUUCAGGAAACUGGGGCUAAUACCGGAUAGGAGCUCCUGCUGCAUGGUGGGGGUUGGAAAGUUUCGGCGGUUGGGGAUGGACUCGCGGCUUAUCAGCUUGUUGGUGGGGUAGUGGCUUACCAAGGCUUUGACGGGUAGCCGGCCUGAGAGGGUGACCGGCCACAUUGGGACUGAGAUACGGCCCAGACUCCUACGAGAGGCAGCAGUGGGGAAUAUUGCACAAUGGGCGGAAGCCUGAUGCAGCAACGCCGCGUGCGGGAUGACGGCCUUCGGGUUGUAAACCGCUUUCGCCUGUGACGAAGCGUGAGUGACGGUAAUGGGUAAAGAAGCACCGGCUAACUACGUGCCAGCAGCCGCGGUGAUACGUAGGGUGCGAGCGUUGUCCGGAUUUAUUGGGCGUAAAGGGCUCGUAGGUGGUUGAUCGCGUCGGAAGUGUAAUCUUGGGGCUUAACCCUGAGCGUGCUUUCGAUACGGGUUGACUUGAGGAAGGUAGGGGAGAAUGGAAUUCCUGGUGGAGCGGUGGAAUGCGCAGAUAUCAGGAGGAACACCAGUGGCGAAGGCGGUUCUCUGGGCCUUUCCUGACGCUGAGGAGCGAAAGCGUGGGGAGCGAACAGGCUUAGAUACCCUGGUAGUCCACGCUGUAAACGGUGGGUACUAGGUGUGGGGCCCAUUCCACGGGUUCCGUGCCGUAGCUAACGCUUUAAGUACCCCGCCUGGGGAGUACGGCCGCAAGGCUAAAACUCAAAGGAAUUGACGGGGCCCCGCACAAGCGGCGGAGCAUGCGGAUUAAUUCGAUGCAACGCGUAGAACCUUACCUGGGUUUGACAUGGAUCGGGAGUGCUCAGAGAUGGGUGUGCCUCUUUUGGGGUCGGUUCACAGGUGGUGCAUGGCUGUCGUCAGCUCGUGUCGUGAGAUGUUGGGUUAAGUCCCGCAACGAGCGCAACCCCUGUUCACUGUUGCCAGCACGUUAUGGUGGGGACUCAGUGGAGACCGCCGGGGUCAACUCGGAGGAAGGUGGGGAUGACGUCAAGUCAUCAUGCCCCUUAUGUCCAGGGCUUCACGCAUGCUACAAUGGCUGGUACAGAGAGUGGCGAGCCUGUGAGGGUGAGCGAAUCUCGGAAAGCCGGUCUCAGUUCGGAUUGGGGUCUGCGACUCGACCUCAUGAAGUCGGAGUCGCUAGUAAUCGCAGAUCAGCAACGCUGCGGUGAAUACGUUCCCGGGGCU
Molecule: ribosomal RNA, 1346 nt
Filed under: uncultured bacterium
Lineage: Bacteria
Description: partial 16S ribosomal RNA
Rfam family: Bacterial small subunit ribosomal RNA
Source: RNAcentral